GAGGGCAGAGCUCAGGGGCAGAGCACGUGCUUAGCAUGCACGAGGCCCUGGGUUCCAUCCCUAGUGCCUCCA
Molecule: transfer RNA, 72 nt
Filed under: Camelus bactrianus (Bactrian camel)
Lineage: Eukaryota; Metazoa; Chordata; Mammalia; Artiodactyla; Camelidae
Also listed under: 2 other names
Rfam family: tRNA
About the family: Transfer RNA (tRNA) molecules are approximately 80 nucleotides in length.
Source: Rfam by way of RNAcentral